UACGUAGGGUGCGAGCGUUAAUCGGAAUUACUGGGCGUAAAGCGUGCGCAGGCGGUUUUGUAAGCCAGAUGUGAAAUCCCCGGGCUCAACCUGGGAAUGGCAUUUGGGACUGCAAGGCUGGAGUACGGCAGAGGAGACUGGAAUUCCUGGUGUAGCAGUGAAAUGCGUAGAUAUCAGGAGGAACACCGAUGGCGAAGGCAGGUCUCUGGGCUGACACUGACGCUCAUGCACGAAAGCGUGGGGAGCAAACAGG
This 253-nucleotide ribosomal RNA is filed under the name uncultured bacterium. Its description in RNAcentral is "partial 16S ribosomal RNA". It matches the Rfam family "Bacterial small subunit ribosomal RNA", at positions 524 to 776 of the family's 1533-position model. The record is from RNAcentral.